CCUACGGGUGGCAGCAGUGGGGAAUCUUGCGCAAUGCGCGACAGCGUGACGCAGCAACGCCGCGUGGGGGAAGAAGGCCUUCGGGUUGUAAACCCCUUUCAGGAGGGACGAAGCCCGGGCGGUGAACAGCCGACUCGGGUGACGGUACCUCCAGAAGAAGCCCCGGCUAACUACGUGCCAGCAGCCGCGGUAAUACGUAGGGGGCAAGCGUUGUCCGGAAUCAUUGGGCGUAAAGCGCGUGUAGGCGGUCCGGUAAGUCGGUUGUGAAAGUCGAGGGCUCAACCCUCGAAUGCCGAUCGAUACUGCCGGGCUAGAGUCCGGAAGAGGCGAGUGGAAUUCCUGGUGUAGCGGUGAAAUGCGCAGAUAUCAGGAGGAACACCGAUGGCGAAGGCAGCUCGCUGGGACGGUACUGACGCUGAGACGCGAAAGCGUGGGGAGCA
This 440-nucleotide ribosomal RNA is filed under the name uncultured bacterium. RNAcentral's name for it is "bacterial SSU rRNA". It matches the Rfam family "Bacterial small subunit ribosomal RNA", at positions 338 to 770 of the family's 1533-position model. The record is from RNAcentral.